RNAcentral lists this ribosomal RNA (469 nucleotides) under soil bacterium 03G-02. RNAcentral describes it as "bacterial SSU rRNA". It matches the Rfam family "Bacterial small subunit ribosomal RNA", at positions 24 to 487 of the family's 1533-position model. RNAcentral also lists the same sequence under 1 other name. The record is from RNAcentral.
UCAGGACGAACGCUGGCGGCGUGCCUAAUACAUGCAAGUCGAGCGGACAGAAGGGAGCUUGCUCCCGGAUGUUAGCGGCGGACGGGUGAGUAACACGUGGGUAACCUGCCUGUAAGACUGGGAUAACUCCGGGAAACCGGAGCUAAUACCGGAUAGUUCCUUGAACCGCAUGGUUCAAGGAUGAAAGACGGUUUCGGCUGUCACUUACAGAUGGACCCGCGGCGCAUUAGCUAGUUGGUGAGGUAACGGCUCACCAAGGCGACGAUGCGUAGCCGACCUGAGAGGGUGAUCGGCCACACUGGGACUGAGACACGGCCCAGACUCCUACGGGAGGCAGCAGUAGGGAAUCUUCCGCAAUGGACGAAAGUCUGACGGAGCAACGCCGCGUGAGUGAUGAAGGUUUUCGGAUCGUAAAGCUCUGUUGUUAGGGAAGAACAAGUGCAAGAGUAACUGCUUGCACCUGACGGUA